Molecule: long non-coding RNA, 599 nt
Organism: Pseudoliparis swirei
Lineage: Eukaryota; Metazoa; Chordata; Actinopteri; Perciformes; Liparidae
Exons: 4
Source: RefSeq, a predicted model, not a curated record
UGGUACAGUGGGGAUGGCUGCGUUUGGCCAGAUUACCCGAGGGAUGAAAGGGUGGACAAGGCGGUCCGAAGUGCCGAAGAACCUCAACCUGACUGGCAGACACAUGAUGUCAGAAUAAUUAGAUCAUGCGAUGAUUACUUGGUGGCAAGGCGAUGGUUAACAAAAUAUAUGUCCUGUGACACAUCUGAUCUCCAUUCAGAAGAGGAGGCAAUUCCUAAAAGGAGAAAGCCAAUGCCUGUCCAUUUCUUUGGGGACUCGGAUGCAGACAGCGAGACUGAAAAUCGCCACCCCAAAAAAAAAAAGGGUCCAACCACGAGCAGGACAGUUGCCCCUCCUCCAACUAUUGCCCCUCCUCCACCACGGACUUCAUCGCCAGCAGGACAGCGAACAAGCCAUGCAGGGGACACGCCAACCUGGCGAGGGGCGAGGUGUGGUUCAGACACCAUUGCCUGCUGUGCUGCUCAAGUUCAAAUGAUGGCCAUGCUGGAGACGCUUACACAGCAGGUCCAUCAAUUAACACAGCAGGUCCAUCAAUUAACUUCCAAAGUUGACAGCUUUGUUCGCCCCAGCGUGACACAAAUGUCUGGUCAAGAAGUGGA